CGAAGAGCUAGGGUUAGCUAGCGAGGUUAAUGUUUGGUGUUUGUUUAUAGCUAACUGAAUGAAACGCCAGCCAGGUUUGCUUAGCAACUCGUCAAAAGGGGGCGGAGUUUCACGUCACAUCGCUGAGUCGGCUCCCUAUUGGUCACGCGGAGCGGAAACAAUUCAAGCUGGUUUCUGUUCAGCGUUUGGUGUCAUCUUGCCUCAGGAUGUUAUGAGCUUAUUUUUCACCUGUGCUGAGUUCACACUGACGUCAAUUCCACACACUGUGUGUGAAAUCAAAUGGAAGAGGACAUGGCUUCUUGGAUGUAUUGGAACGGGGCCAGCUGGUUCAUAAUGUCAGGAACCCUACGAAAAUGUCACAUCAACUUGACCUGUGCGCUGGGGUCAAGACCAAGACCAUAGCCAAUGGCGUCCGAGUGAAGACCACUGAGUAUAUCAGGGGGCAGAGGAACUGAGAAGAGACCAACACCACACAUGGCCGAGUCCAUGUCAGAUGCUCAAGACCAGAUGCUCAGAUGUGUUAUUUCACUGGGUGUAGUAUCUUCCUUACCUUACAUGAAAUUUCUUUGGAACGAAUUAAAAUAUCUACUUAGAAGUACAUAGGACAUACAUAGGACAGGUUAAGCAUAACCCAUUCUUAGGGAGCAUCCCAUCAAUCCAUCCAUUUUCUCUACCACUUAUCCUUACUGGGUUGCGGGGAACCUGGAGCCUAUCCCAAGGGGCAUGGGGCACAAGGCCGGGGACACCUUGGACAUUGUACCAGUCUCUUAGGGAGCAUGCAUGAGGUGGUGUCGGAAAAAUAUUUUGAGUCUUCGUAGGCAGAGACAAGGCCGAGUAAAAUUUCACCUGAAGACUGAGACCACUGAUUUACACCUGAUUUUUUUUAAAUAUAAUUUUUCACGUGAUUUUUGCAUAUGAAUCAUUUAUUUUCACUUGUGGUUUUAUAUUUCACAGGGUUUUUUUUCCAUGAAUCAUUUAUUUUCCCAUAUGAUUUUUUUCCACAAGUUCUUUAUUUUCCCAUGCAUGAUGAAUUUCUUUUCGCAUGAUUUAUAUUUCACAUGCAAUUUUACACAUGCAAUUAAUUUUCUCAUGACUUUUACACUCUAUUUAUUUUUCCAGAUUUUUUGAACAUGGUUUAAUUUUCCACAUGUGAUUGGUCAUCGUUCAUGAAUAAUUUAUUUUCACAUGAUUUUUUUAUUAUGCCUCCGCCCGGCUGCGGAGGCAUUAUGUUUUCGAGUUGUCCAUGCGUCUCUCGUCUGAGUGUGAAGAACAAGUGGUUGAAUGUUUGAAGGAUUUAUAUGGAAUUCUUUGUUGUAACC
Long non-coding RNA from Ictalurus punctatus (channel catfish), 1319 nucleotides. RefSeq lists it as uncharacterized. The transcript has 6 exons. NCBI's taxonomy places the organism in Eukaryota, Metazoa, Chordata, Actinopteri, Siluriformes, Ictaluridae. The record is from RefSeq and is a predicted model, not a curated record.